UACGUAGGGUGCGAGCGUUGUCCGGAAUUAUUGGGCGUAAAGGGCUCGUAGGCGGUCUGUCACGUCGGGAGUGAAAACUCAGGGCUUAACCCUGAGCCUGCUUCCGAUACGGGCAGACUAGAGGUAUGCAGGGGAGAACGGAAUUCCUGGUGUAGCGGUGAAAUGCGCAGAUAUCAGGAGGAACACCUAUGGCGAAAGCAGGCAUCUGGGCCAUCACUGACGCUGAGCUGCGAAAGCUAGGGGAGCAAACAGG
RNAcentral lists this ribosomal RNA (253 nucleotides) under uncultured bacterium. RNAcentral describes it as "partial 16S ribosomal RNA". It matches the Rfam family "Bacterial small subunit ribosomal RNA", at positions 524 to 776 of the family's 1533-position model. The record is from RNAcentral.